Molecule: long non-coding RNA, 1356 nt
Filed under: Helianthus annuus (common sunflower)
Lineage: Eukaryota; Viridiplantae; Streptophyta; Magnoliopsida; Asterales; Asteraceae
Description: sRNA HanXRQr2_Chr10g0437741
Source: RNAcentral
UUUGUGUGACUUGUUACCAUGAUGAUGUUUCAAUUGUUGAAGAUCGUCUUGUUCGGUGGUGGGUGUUGUGGUGGUGACGGUGUAGUGGUGGCGGUGACGUGAAGGUGCAGCGGUGGUGGUGACGGUGGACGUGCAGCGGUGGUGGGUGCUGUGGAGGUGUAGCGGUGGUGGUGACGGUGGAGGUGCAGCGGUGGUGGGUGUUGUGGAGGUGCAACGGUGGUGGGUGUUGUGGUGGUAUCGGUGUAGUGGUGGUGGCGACGGUGGAGGUGAAGUGGCGACGGUGGUGUUGACAGUGGAAGUGUGGUGGUGGGAUGGAGAUGAUUUAGGUAGAGAGAGAGAGAAAGUUCUGGAUAAUUUGGUCAUGACUUAUGACCUGAUAUUGAUCUACAGAAUAUAUAUAAUAAAAUAGUUUUUUUAAUUAAAAGGGUAAUUUGGUCAUUUAACAAAAGUUAACAGAAUAAUUUUAACAGUGUUAGAAAUUUGGACUCAAAUGGUUAAAGAAAAUGCUUAUGGGGACUCAGGUCGUUAAACUUUUUGCUUUUGAACUUAACUAGUUAAAACACAUAAAACACAGGGACUCAAAAAGUAAUUUACCCUUAAAAUAAACUUGUCUCUCUCCCUCUCUCUCUUUCCUAGUCUUCUCUCUCUCUCUAAAAAAACUUGAUCGGCCUUGACAAUCAAGGGUACGACUCUGCCGUUCUUCCUUUCUUCAGCCGCUAUUCCUUUGUUCACCCAUGAAUCCAUCUUUUUGUGAGCCUAAUCCUCACAAUUACCCCUCUAAUCGACCCCUGAUGAUCCUGAUUAAACCGCUGGUUCUGGCCAAAUUAAUAUACUAUAAGCACAAGGCAAUGUUGCCAAUCGCCUGCCGUAGUCAUUAAACAUGGAGAAUUGGAGAUAACAAUAGCUUCCAUUUAAUUUGAUGUAAAUGUACAAAAUAUAAAGAAAAGGAAGCCCAUAAAACAAUGUCUAGACAAGAUUUCAAGAGCAUAACAAUUACCAGCUGAUCAUUCCAUCUCUCUCUCAACACAUCUGCUAAUCUUAUGCCCUAACUGAAUCUAGAGUUAACAACACCCAUGCUACCAUAAAUCAUCCACGUCACUUUAAAAACCCCAAACCCCAGCUUUACACCAUGCCCCAAACUAACAGUCUUAAUUAUUUCUACUUCAAACAAACAUAUCUCCGGCCUGACGGCUAACCAUUGCCAUAAUCGGAGACCGUCUAGCUAGAAAUACGACUGUCCGGUUAAAAGAAACCCAUCUUCGGCCACCAUUGUUGUCGCCUCACCGGAAAAGGUGCAACGCCGACCGUCUGGUUAAAACCGUCGGAACAAAUCGAUUGAGGUUUAAGAAAGUUUAG